This is a long non-coding RNA of Pogoniulus pusillus (Red-fronted tinkerbird), 1363 nucleotides long. RefSeq lists it as uncharacterized. The record is from RefSeq and is a predicted model, not a curated record. The transcript has 7 exons. NCBI's taxonomy places the organism in Eukaryota, Metazoa, Chordata, Aves, Piciformes, Lybiidae.
GGUGCACGCCCUGCUCUGUGGCAUUCAGAAGCACCUCCUCAGUCUGGAGUAGGAAGGACUAUUGUUGGGGGCUUUUCUUCUCCUUAAUUUUGAGCUGCGGAUGAAGAAAGCUUGUGAGAGCCAGUUCUGGAGCCUCAAACUGGUUGACAAGCAGGAAGAAGUACUUCUGGUGGACAUUGACUGCCACAGUGGCAGCAUCACAUCUCUUGGUUAUUUAUGACAGCAGCACUGGAUACUGGAAGGGCUCCCAAGUACUAUUUGGAUUGCUGUGGACCAACACUAGGAAGAGAAAUUCAAGUGGAACACAUCUGAGACAACUGCUGCAAGCGUGAUGGAAGCAGCUGGAAAAGAAAGAUUGGUUUUGGUUUGUGCUGGUUUCUUUUUUUCUCAGUGACUAAGUAUCGAACUUGAAUCAACUGUGAGAGAAGAGAGAAUGAAGCCAGUUCUGACAUGCUGCAGCAAGCAGGCCUUCCUUAAAAAUCCCAGUAUGGCACAAGGGUUGACUCCCUGACAGCAGCAUCCAGUACCUUGCUCCUGAGACACAGCACUAGUCACAAGCUCUCCACCAAUGCAUCCAUGUACUGCAAGAAGAAACAGUGAAAGAUCAAUGUUGCUGCUUUCAGAGACUAUCAGCUCAAGUGAGCAUUUGAAAAAGUCAACUGGGCAUAAUUUAAUUUACUUUUCUUUAAGAAAACAAGAGAAGUAUUUGGGUUGGUGAUUAUUUUUCCCCUUUUUAGCAUGACACAAGGCAUAAGGGGGAUGCUGAACUUGGACUCAUCUAUCUGAUCUAUCAUUUUUCUUACAUAUCUAUGCUAUACUUGGAUGUAUGCUGAGCAAUGUAUGAGAAAAAACUUCCCUUUCAGCCUGUGAGCUUUCUUAGGACCAACAAGUAAUGCAUAACAGAAUAAUAAAAUACAGAGUUGUGCUGUAAUGGCUGCUUGCACCUUGACAGUUACGUUUGGUGAUUAAAUGGGACUAGAGGAAGGUCACCACCAGCUGGAUACUCCCUUCCCCAUGUUCAGGUAGCAUGCAGAGUGUCUAAAGGCCUCCUCUCAUAACUCUCCCUACAGCCCUUUCUCCUCAGGAAGUUAUCAACUGCUUGCUAAAGCUCUCAGACUACAUCAGGGAAGGAGAGCUCAAACAUGUCAGCUGCAUGAUAAAAGCCAGGGGCAGGAAGAGGGUAUAAAUGCCCCAAUAAAGGGCUCAAAUAGGGGAGUAACAGCAGGAAAAAACCUUCUCUUUUUGUUUGAGACUUACAGAGAUACAACCAGCUGCAAACACUUCAGAGCAGGAGACACAGCAGAGGCAGUAUUUGCUGUAAAAGCUACAUUAAGCUCUAGGGAUGAGAAUUAGCCUAAAAACA